RNAcentral lists this ribosomal RNA (286 nucleotides) under Enterobacter sp. October_TSA1D2. RNAcentral's name for it is "partial 16S ribosomal RNA". It matches the Rfam family "Bacterial small subunit ribosomal RNA", at positions 1086 to 1372 of the family's 1533-position model. Lineage: Bacteria; Pseudomonadati; Pseudomonadota; Gammaproteobacteria; Enterobacterales; Enterobacteriaceae. The record is from RNAcentral.
CCCGCAACGAGCGCAACCCUUAUCCUUUGUUGCCAGCGGUUAGGCCGGGAACUCAAAGGAGACUGCCAGUGAUAAACUGGAGGAAGGUGGGUCUGACGUCAAGUCAUCAUGGCCCUUACGACCAGGGCUACACACGUGCUACAAUGGCGCAUACAAAGAGAAGCGAUCUCGCGAGAGCCAGCGGACCUCAUAAAGUGCGUCGUAGUCCGGAUUGGAGUCUGCAACUCGACUCCAUGAAGUCGGAAUCGCUAGUAAUCGUGAAUCAGAAUGUCACGGUGAAUACUUU